Molecule: ribosomal RNA, 430 nt
Filed under: uncultured Acidobacteriota bacterium
Lineage: Bacteria; Pseudomonadati; Acidobacteriota
Description: bacterial SSU rRNA
Rfam family: Bacterial small subunit ribosomal RNA
Source: RNAcentral
GAUGUUGGGUUAAGUCCCGCAACGAGCGCAACCCCUGCUGCUAGUUGCCAACGGUUCGGCUGGGCACUCUAGUGGGACUGCCGGUGAUAAACCGGAGGAAGGUGGGGAUGACGUCAAGUCCUCAUGGCCUUUAUGUCCAGGGCGACACACGUGCUACAAUGGCCGGUACAAACCGUCGCUAAAGCGCAAGCUGGAGCCAAUCGGAAAAAGCCGGUCUCAGUUCGGAUUGGGGUCUGCAACUCGACCCCAUGAAGCUGGAAUCGCUAGUAAUCGCGGAUCAGCACGCCGCGGUGAAUACGUUCCCGGGCCUUGUACACACCGCCCGUCACAUCACGAAAGUCGGCUGUACCAGAAGUCGGUGUUCCAACCCGCAAGGGAGGAAGCCGCCUAAGGUAUGGUCGGUAAUUGGGGUGAAGUCGUAACAAGGUAA